CCAUGAGAUCAUGGCCUAAGCCAAAGUCUGAUGCUCAACCAACUGAGCUACCCAGGUGCCCUAGGAAGCUUGGAUCUUAAUAACUGUUGAAUAGAAUGAUGGAAAGGACAUUUAUAAUACUCUGACAUAAAAUGUUGUUUGAGUGAACACCAUAGAGGCCCAAAAUUUCUAGGUGAAAGGACACUGGGAGAACAGGAGUAGCAUGCUCCAGGAUACAACAUGGCUGGUCACCACUGCAUUUUGAGCCUCUCUGUAAAACUGCCACAAGAGGCUGCAAUUCAAUAACAAGUGGUGCAACUUGGCAAGGAAAAUAAGUAAAGCCUGGUGACGAGAAGGAAAAAAAAUGCAAGAGAAUGAAAAUCGUGAGCCAAACAAUACGAGAACAGCUUCCUACCCCUAUCGUUACCCCAUGGCCCGGGCCCCCAGCAUUGGUGGCAUUAUCUCUGCACAGCCAGAAUUUUAGGAAAUGCCUGCCAAUAUUGACAUUUCCCCACAUAAUGAAAUCAAGGUGGAUUGGUGAACAGUCACUUUAAAAGUUAAUUGUUGAAAACCUGCAGGUUAGAGCUCU
RNAcentral lists this long non-coding RNA (568 nucleotides) under Lynx pardinus (Iberian lynx). Lineage: Eukaryota; Metazoa; Chordata; Mammalia; Carnivora; Felidae. The record is from RNAcentral.